RNAcentral lists this ribosomal RNA (484 nucleotides) under uncultured bacterium. Its description in RNAcentral is "partial 16S ribosomal RNA". It matches the Rfam family "Bacterial small subunit ribosomal RNA", at positions 28 to 523 of the family's 1533-position model. The record is from RNAcentral.
GACGAACGCUGGCGGCGUGCUUAACACAUGCAAGUCGAACGAUGAAGCCGGAGCUUGCUCUGGUGAAUUAGUGGCGAACGGGUGAGUAACACGUGAGUAACCUGCCCUUGACUCUGGGAUAACUGCUAGAAAUGGUAGCUAAUACCGGAUACGACCCUCGGAGGCAUCUCCAGAGGGUGGAAAGAAUUUCGGUCAAGGAUGGACUCGCGGCCUAUCAGCUAGUUGGUGAGGUAACGGCUCACCAAGGCGACGACGGGUAGCCGGCCUGAGAGGGUGACCGGCCACACUGGGACUGAGACACGGCCCAGACUCCUACGGGAGGCAGCAGUGGGGAAUAUUGCACAAUGGGCGCAAGCCUGAUGCAGCAACGCCGCGCGAGGGAUGACGGCCUUCGGGUUGUAAACCACUUUUAGUAGGGAAGAAGCGAAAGUGACGGUACCUGCAGAAAAAGCACCGGCUAACUACGUGCCAGCCGCCGCCGUAA